This 465-nucleotide ribosomal RNA is filed under the name Vreelandella stevensii. RNAcentral describes it as "partial 16S ribosomal RNA". It matches the Rfam family "Bacterial small subunit ribosomal RNA", at positions 338 to 795 of the family's 1533-position model. The record is from RNAcentral. Lineage: Bacteria; Pseudomonadati; Pseudomonadota; Gammaproteobacteria; Oceanospirillales; Halomonadaceae.
CCUACGUGAGGCUGCAGUGGGGAAUAUUGGACAAUGGGGGCAACCCUGAUCCAGCCAUGCCGCGUGUGUGAAGAAGGCCCUCGGGUUGUAAAGCACUUUCAGUGAGGAAGAACGCCUGGUGGUUAAUACCCAUCAGGAAAGACAUCACUCACAGAAGAAGCACCGGCUAACUCCGUGCCAGCAGCCGCGGUAAUACGGAGGGUGCGAGCGUUAAUCGGAAUUACUGGGCGUAAAGCGCGCGUAGGUGGCUUGAUAAGCCGGUUGUGAAAGCCCCGGGCUCAACCUGGGAACGGCAUCCGGAACUGUCAAGCUAGAGUGCAGGAGAGGAAGGUAGAAUUCCCGGUGUAGCGGUGAAAUGCGUAGAGAUCGGGAGGAAUACCAGUGGCGAAGGCGGCCUUCUGGACUGACACUGACACUGAGGUGCGAAAGCGUGGGUAGCAAACAGGAUUAGAUACCCGAGUAGUC